UCCCAAAGGAAGCUCCUUCACCACCUCCUUCAGCAGCAAAUCCCUGGAGGCUUUGUUUCUCACCCAGGUCCCACCUAUCCCAUCCCUCAUCACACCCCACAUCUCCAGGACCCCUCAAAGAGCUGGAGAGAAGCACCCUGAGCCCAAACUGGGCCUUUGGACCUCCCCCAGGAGGAUUUUGGUGUUGCAGAUGGGCUGCCAUGUGCAUCCUUCACCUCCAGCCACCUCCUGAGGCCACCUCCCCCCUGGGUGAUGCUGAAGGGGACCCCAGAAACCUCCAAGCUUAUGUUCAGCUCAUCACAUAAUGAGAUCCCACCAGAGGAACCAUAUCCUGAUGCUUCCCAGACAGCCAAGGCCCCCAAAAUGCUCUGAGGAGGAGGAGGAGGAGAAGGAAGAGCAGCUUCCUCAGGUUUCCAGGAGGAAUUCCAGGAGGGAGAAGGUGAGGACAUCUGAGCUGGGGAACCUCCACCAGCCACGGAGAUGCUGAACCCAUUGCAGAACUUUUGGCAGCAGAGAAAACUCCUGGAGCAAGCAAACACCUCUCCAUGGCCCCUUCCCAUCAAACCAGGGAAUGGUUUGGGGUAAAAAGGACCUUCAAGACCACCCAGCUCCAACCUCCCUGCAUGGCCAGGGACCUCUCCCAUUGGACCAGGCUGCUCCAAACUUCUUUUAGAGAGUGGGAAAUGCCCCCAGCUCAAGCCUGGUGCUGCUCUCAAAGCUUCUUUUACUCGUGGCCAAUCCCCCUGCCAGCCCCAGGAGCUGCUCCUGCAGGAUGAGGAGGAUUGGGGGGUGGGAACUCAUCUGCAAGAGCUCUCAGGCUGCCAGCAGCAUUAGGGCAAUUUAUUGCCUGACCCCAGCUUGGAAAUGAAAUCUC
Molecule: long non-coding RNA, 874 nt
Organism: Calypte anna (Anna's hummingbird)
Lineage: Eukaryota; Metazoa; Chordata; Aves; Apodiformes; Trochilidae
Exons: 4
Source: RefSeq, a predicted model, not a curated record